Molecule: ribosomal RNA, 274 nt
Filed under: uncultured bacterium
Lineage: Bacteria
Description: partial 16S ribosomal RNA
Rfam family: Bacterial small subunit ribosomal RNA
Source: RNAcentral
AUACGGAGGGUGCAAGCGUUGUUCGGAAUCACUGGGCGUAAAGGGCGCGCAGGCGGUUUUACAAGUCAGAUGUGAAAGCCCACGGCUCAACCGUGGAAGUGCAUUUGAAACUGUAAGACUUGAGUAUCAGAGGGGAAGGUGGAAUUUCCGGUGUAGAGGUGAAAUUCGUAGAUAUCGGGAGGAAUACCGGUGGCGAAGGCGACUUUCUGGCUGAAUACUGACGCUGAGGCGCGAAAGCGUGGGGAGCAAACAGGAUUAGAUACCCUUGUAGUCC